This 711-nucleotide long non-coding RNA is filed under the name Rattus norvegicus (Norway rat). RNAcentral describes it as "long non-coding RNA NONRATT030732". The record is from RNAcentral. Lineage: Eukaryota; Metazoa; Chordata; Mammalia; Rodentia; Muridae.
ACCACAUCACACCAUCACACCACACAUCACAUCACACACCACAUCAUAUUACAAAUAUUACAUACAACAUAUCACAUCACACCACACAUCACAUCACCACAUCACACCACACACAUAUCACCACAUUACACAUCACACAUCACAUUGCACAUCACAUCACACAUCAUACCACAUCACAUAUCACACCACACAACACAUCACAUGUCACAUCACAUUCACACAUCACACAUCACAUCACAUUACAUCACACAUCACAGAUCACAUCACCACAUCAGACCACAAUGAGAAGUUCCCAGCGCCAUCAUCGUUCAUAUGAGGGACUCACCACCAGUGUUUUCUGCUUUACCAGGAACCCCAGUAGUGUCAGUGCAGCAGCCUGUGGUGCCCGUGUUCUAAAAGCCUCGGUCCCUGUACGCUCCCACUCUGCCCACAGAGGCCCGCUUGGGUCUGGCUCACCUGAGUUUGUUGUUGCAGUAGGAGCAUCGGAAACAGCUGAUGUGAAACACCUGCUGGUUGGCCAGGAGCCGUUCCAUGGGAUACACCGUCUUCUGACACUCCACGCAGCUCUCUCUUGCGGGUGCCUGAAACUUCUAGACAAGGAAGCAGACAAUUUCAGCCGCGGCACUGAUGACUUGGUUACCCUGCCGAGACGGGCCUAGGAGUUAAUUCAUCUAAGGGCCAUUCUCAAAGGAACCACACCUGCUCGGAUUC